This 299-nucleotide small RNA is filed under the name Octodon degus (degu). RNAcentral's name for it is "7SK RNA (ENSODEG00000023736.1)". The record is from RNAcentral. Lineage: Eukaryota; Metazoa; Chordata; Mammalia; Rodentia; Octodontidae.
GGAACUGAGGGUGAUCUGGCUACAGUGUGUCACCCAUUGAUCUCCAGGUUGAUCUGGCUGGUGCGAUGUACCAGGCAGGUGUCCCCUUACUCCUUACCACUCUGUGUGCAUCCCCCUGAGAGCUGUGGCGGGCUGAAGAGGAGGGCGGUGCCUGAUGAAGAACAGUUGUGCUGCCCUGCCAGACCUCCAAGAAGCUCUCAAAAAAUGGGGUGGGGACAUAGCCUGGUGUAAGGCGCCUGGGUCAAUCCGUGCUCUCUUAUAGCACAUGUGCACACACGCAUACAUGCACACGUGUGUGC